CCUACGGGGGGCAGCAGUGGGGAAUAUUGGACAAUGGGCGAAAGCCUGAUCCAGCCAUGCCGCGUGUGUGAAGAAGGCCUUCGGGUUGUAAAGCACUUUCAGUGGGGAAGAAAGCCUUGGGGCUAAUACCCUCGAGGAAGGACAUCACCCACAGAAGAAGCACCGGCUAACUCCGUGCCAGCAGCCGCGGUAAUACGGAGGGUGCGAGCGUUAAUCGGAAUUACUGGGCGUAAAGCGCGCGUAGGCGGUCUGAUAAGCGGUUGUGAAAGCCCCGGGCUCAACCUGGGAACGGCAUCCGGAACUGGCAGGCUAGAGUGCAGGAGAGGAAGGUAGAAAUCCCGGGGUAGCGGGUGAAUGCGUAGAGAUCGGGAGGAAUACCAGUGGCGAAGGCGGCCUUCUGGACUGACACUGACGCUGAGGUGCGAAAGCGUGGGUAGCAAACAGGAUUAGAUACCCUAGUAGUUC
Molecule: ribosomal RNA, 465 nt
Filed under: Vreelandella stevensii
Lineage: Bacteria; Pseudomonadati; Pseudomonadota; Gammaproteobacteria; Oceanospirillales; Halomonadaceae
Description: partial 16S ribosomal RNA
Rfam family: Bacterial small subunit ribosomal RNA
Source: RNAcentral